CGCUCUCCAUCCAAUCCAACCACGCGAACAACCAAGAUGACGCGCUCUCCUCUGGCUCUGGCCCUACUGCUCCUCUGCGCCGCCGGCGCCGCGGCGGCCGUGCCGCGGUACCGCGAGGCGCCGCACUUCACCAACUCGGCGGCGGCGCAGUGCCCGCCGCUGCUGCAGCCGUCGGACGCGGACGCGGCGUGCUCGCCGCACGCGGCGGUGCACGUCGCCAUGACGCUGGACGCGUCGUACCUGCGCGGCACCAUGGCGGCCGUGCUCUCCGUGCUGCGCCACGCGUCGUGCCCGGAGUCCAUCCACUUCCACUUCAUCGCCUCCGCCUCCUCCGGGUCCAGUGCGACGGCGGAGGCGCUCAGGGCCACGGUGCGCGCGUCGUUCCCGUCGCUGGCGUUCCGGGUGUACCCGUUCGCCGACGAGGCCCGCGUGGCGGGGCUCAUCUCCACCUCCAUCCGGGGCGCGCUGGACCGCCCGCUCAACUACGCGCGCUCCUACCUCGCGUCCACGCUGCCCGCCUGCGUGCGCCGCGUCGUGUACCUCGACUCCGACGUCGUGCUCACCGACGACAUCGCCGCCCUCGCCGCCACCCCGCUCCCGGGGGAGGGCACGGCCGUGGCGGCGCCCCAGUACUGCGGCGCCAACUUCACCGCCUACUUCACGCCGGGCUUCUGGGCGUCCCCCGCGCUCUCCUCCGCCUUCGCCGGCCGCCGCGCCUGCUACUUCAACACGGGCGUCAUGGUGCUCGACCUCGCGCGCUGGCGCCGCGCGGGAUACACGGCGCAGAUCGAGGAGUGGAUGGAGCUGCAGAAGCGGGUGCGCAUCUACGAGCUGGGCUCGCUGCCGCCCUUCCUGCUCGUCUUCGCCGGCAGGAUCGCGUCCGUGGACCACAGAUGGAACCAGCACGGCCUCGGCGGGGACAACUACCGCGGCCUCUGCCGCGGCCUGCACGCCGGCGCCGUCAGCCUGCUGCACUGGAGCGGCAAGGGGAAGCCCUGGGACCGCCUCGACGCCGGAAGGCCGUGCCCGCUCGACGCCGUCUGGGCCAAGUACGACCUGCUCCGGCCGGCAGCCGGCAUCGAGACCUCGUGAACACAACGACGGCGUUCGAUCGACCGCUCGUUUCACUUUUUGUUCGGUUUAGAAGCACGUGCUCUUCGUUGUUUUGUUGAUCUAGGCUAGAUAUUGGUAGAUCGAUCAUCAGGGUGUUCAUGUGAACUGUACAUAUUGUUGCUAACUUUCUCGG
This 1246-nucleotide unclassified non-coding RNA is filed under the name Zea mays. Its description in RNAcentral is "misc RNA Zm00001eb051960". The record is from RNAcentral. Lineage: Eukaryota; Viridiplantae; Streptophyta; Magnoliopsida; Poales; Poaceae.